Molecule: ribosomal RNA, 253 nt
Filed under: uncultured bacterium
Lineage: Bacteria
Description: partial 16S ribosomal RNA
Rfam family: Bacterial small subunit ribosomal RNA
Source: RNAcentral
UACGUAGGGUGCGAGCGUUAAUCGGAAUUACUGGGCGUAAAGCGUGCGUAGGUGGUUUGUUAAGUCUGAUGUGAAAGCCCUGGGCUCAACCUGGGAAUUGCAUUGGAUACUGGCAGGCUAGAGUGCGGUAGAGGAUGGCGGAAUUCCCGGUGUAGCAGUGAAAUGCGUAGAGAUCGGGAGGAACAUCUGUGGCGAAGGCGGGUCUCUGGACAGUUCCUGACGCUAAGGCACGAAGGUCAGGGGAGCAAACGGG